RNAcentral lists this ribosomal RNA (480 nucleotides) under uncultured bacterium. RNAcentral's name for it is "bacterial SSU rRNA". It matches the Rfam family "Bacterial small subunit ribosomal RNA", at positions 28 to 511 of the family's 1533-position model. The record is from RNAcentral.
GAUGAACGCUAGCGGCAGGCUUAACACAUGCAAGUCGAGGGGUAUAGUAGCAAUACUAGAGACCGGCGCACGGGUGCGUAACGCGUAUGCAAUCUACCUUUUGCAGAGGGAUAGCCCAGAGAAAUUUGGAUUAAUACCUCAUAGUAUUAUAGUAUGGCAUCAUAUUAUAAUUAAAGUCACAACGGCAAAAGAUGAGCAUGCGUCCCAUUAGUUAGUUGGUAAGGUAACGGCUUACCAAGACUACGAUGGGUAGGGGUCCUGAGAGGGAGAUCCCCCACACUGGUACUGAGACACGGACCAGACUCCUACGGGAGGCAGCAGUGAGGAAUAUUGGACAAUGGGCGCAAGCCUGAUCCAGCCAUGCCGCGUGCAGGAUGACGGUCCUAUGGAUUGUAAACUGCUUUUGCACAGGAAGAAACAACGCUACGUGUAGCGUCUUGACGGUACUGUGAGAAUAAGGAUCGGCUAACUCCGUGCCAG